Molecule: long non-coding RNA, 1004 nt
Organism: Oreochromis aureus
Lineage: Eukaryota; Metazoa; Chordata; Actinopteri; Cichliformes; Cichlidae
Source: Ensembl
CUUCAGAUGUUCAGAGCAGGAUCAGUCUCUUCGAGUUCUGGAGCGGGUGUGGGGGACCACUAGAAGAUUUGGAUUCAAUGACCUCAGUCAAUAAGAAGAGGGGACAGGAUGUGAACCUCAGAAGUUUAAGUGAGCAGUAUAGCUGAAUACCAUCGGCAAACAGAUGUUUACAAGGUGGAGGUGGAUUCAGGGGUGGAGUCUGUCCUGCUCCCCUGUAAAGCCACACUUCAGCUGCCUAAAGACGUUAGAGUGGAGUGGAAGGACAUGAAAGACAGGAAGGUCCACGUGUGUGAGAACAGCUCUGACAAGAAUAAAGAACAGGAUGAAGUUUACAGAAAUCGAACAAAGAUGAAUGAAGACCUGCUGAAAACUGGAGACCUCAGUCUGAGCCUGAAACACCCCACAGAGAGAGACACAAACACCUACACCUGCACCGUCUACAGCAGGGACGGAAACAUCCUGCUGAAGAAACAAGUGCUGCUUACUGUCAGAGAGUGUCGGGUGGAGGUGGAGGUGGGGGCGGAGUCUGUCCAGCUGCCCUUCAAAACCACAGCUCAGCUGCCUGAAGACACUCAGGUGGAGUGGUGGCACCGUCCUGAGAAGCCUGACAAACAGGAGCGGGAUUACAGAGACCGAGUGAAGAUGAAGGACGAGCGUGUGAAAAGCGGACGGUUCAGCCUGACCCUUGAACGCCCCACAGAGAGAGACAGUGGCAGAUACAGCUGUGUGGCCUGGAGCCAGGGAAACAUCAUCGGAUGGAGAGUCGUGCUGCUCACAGUUACAGGGAGAGAUCAGCACAUCAGGAACAGAAGCAGCUCCAUUGAUCCGACUCCUCUGAUGGCUGAAGUUUGAUCUGUGUUCCUUUGUUAUUGAUCAGUGAUGUCAGAGUGGACUUUGUGAGUGUCGGUGGGCAGUGAGCAUGAGUGGGAGCCGUGGACGCUGCUGCAGGAAGGCUGCAUGUCAUUUAUUUGUAUGAGUUUAAUCCAUUAAAGUUAAUAAAGAGC